Molecule: unclassified non-coding RNA, 296 nt
Filed under: Hevea brasiliensis (rubber tree)
Lineage: Eukaryota; Viridiplantae; Streptophyta; Magnoliopsida; Malpighiales; Euphorbiaceae
Source: RNAcentral
AAGCAUUCCAUAUAGUAGUCUAAGUUGGACUUGCGGUCGAAGUCCAGGCUGAGGCCAUCGGAGAAGAAGAGAAGAUGGACUCCAGAGAUUGAGAUGGAGUUGGUGGUGGUGGAGGUGAUGGUGGAUGACUUGAGCAUGCGGUGGCGAGCAAUUUCAGUGGUGGCAAGUGUGACCUGAAGACCUUUACAGAUCAAGCGUUUGGCUAGUCUAAGCAAGGGGUUUAUGUGUCCUUGAGAAGAGAAAGCAACCAUUAGCACAUGAAUUUCUUCAUGGUUUUCCUCCAUUGCCAUGGCUUU